GAACGGGUGNAGUAAUAUGCAGAAUGCUACCUUUUAGUUUAGUCUAAAAAAUAUUUAUAUAAUAAAUAUUUGAAUCCUAAAUAAAUCAUAAAGGUAUUGUUUUUAUAAACAAUUUUCCGCUAAAAGAUGGGUCUGUGUAAGAUUAGGUAGUUGGUGAAUUUAACAGCUUACCAAGCCUUUGAUCUUUAGUUGGUCUUAGAGGAUGAUCAACCACACUGGAACUGAAAUAAGGUCCAGGCUAAAUUUUUAGCCAGCAGUGAGGAAUAUUGGACAAUGAACGAAAGUUUGAUCCAGCAAUACUAUCUGAAUGAAGACGGCUUUUUGGUUUUAAAGUUCUUUCGUUAAGAAUGAUAAUGACAUUACUUAAAGAAGUUUAGUCCCGGCUAAUACUCGUGCCAGCAGCCGCGGUGAUACGGGAGGGGCAAGCGUUAUCUGGAAUAACUGGGCGUAAAGAGUCCGUAGAUUGUAAAGUAAGUUACUUGUUAAAUUUUAAAGCCUAACUUUAAGUUAGCUCGUAAUACUGCUUAACUCGAGUUUUAUACAGAAAAGUAGAAUUUUAUACGAAAGGGUAAAAUCUUAAAAUAUAUAAAGGAAUACCAGUAGCGAAGGCGACUUUUUAGUAAAAACUGACAUUGAGGGACGAAAGUGUGGGUAGCAAACAGGAUUAGAUACCCUGGUAGUCCACACUGUAAAUUCUGAGUGCUGUAAUUUAAGUGAGUAUAUUGAUAUAAAUUAGUAUUAUUAUUAAAAAAUUUAUUUAGAUUUUUAAGCUAACGCUAUAAGCACUCCGCCUGAGGAGUACGAUCGCAAGG
This 812-nucleotide ribosomal RNA is filed under the name uncultured bacterium. RNAcentral's name for it is "bacterial SSU rRNA". It matches the Rfam family "Bacterial small subunit ribosomal RNA", at positions 100 to 893 of the family's 1533-position model. The record is from RNAcentral.